This is a long non-coding RNA of Nicotiana tabacum (common tobacco), 714 nucleotides long. RefSeq lists it as uncharacterized. Lineage: Eukaryota; Viridiplantae; Streptophyta; Magnoliopsida; Solanales; Solanaceae. The record is from RefSeq and is a predicted model, not a curated record.
CCUUGUUUGGAGCAGAUAUGGAAAGUUAGGUCAACAGAGAAGUGGAGAAACAUUAAUGAAAGAAAUAAAAAUGAUAGAAUAAAGCAUGUAGCUUAGGCUGUAGCAUAAAAACAGAAAGUAGAAAGACUUUUGGUCUUCUUUCCAUUUUUGGCCCUCCAACCAAAUCAAACAAACAUCCCCCAAUCGAAGUGCUAUCACGUGCCCUUUCUUUUGCCCGUCCAUCUCCUUUCAAUAUCCAAAAUUUCCAUAAAACUAAACCUUCAUCUUCAUCUUGUUUGAGAGAGAGAGAUGGAUCCACCACAGGUACAAGCCAUAGACACCUCCAGCAAAAGCUAUCCCCCAAUUGAAGACGAGCAAGACAAAAUAGUCGACCAAUGUUGUUCUUGCUUUUACGACUGUACUGAUAGCCUUUUGGAGUACUUGUGCUGCUAUGAUUUCUGGUGUUCCUAGGGAUACAAUUUUUCCAAAAGGGAACUUGUUAGAUGAACUAAUUAUGUUCUUUCGCUUUUGGUUAGCUUUAUUUUGCAGUACAUUACUCGAGUAACAUUAAAAAAAUUAUAAUGAGAUUAUCGUUGGCUUCUUAUUAGGUUAUAGUGGUCUUUUUCCAAUUAUAUGCCUAUGGUUCAUAAACUUAUAUGCUAGAAAGAAUUUGAACCCUUUUUGAUCGUGCAUUAAUCAAUUUUGAUAAUUAAAGAGGCAUUGGUUCUUUCAGCA